RNAcentral lists this long non-coding RNA (1700 nucleotides) under Sorghum bicolor (sorghum). Its description in RNAcentral is "long non-coding RNA (SBIC_LNC007988)". The record is from RNAcentral. Lineage: Eukaryota; Viridiplantae; Streptophyta; Magnoliopsida; Poales; Poaceae.
GUAUAUAUGUUUUAAGUUCAAAGAUUUUGGAGUUCAAAUUUUAGAAUUUCCAAACAACCUUCAAUGUUCACAAAGUUAAUAACAAAAAUGUAGUGGCCAACCUUAUCUAUAUGUUUACCGUUGAUAAAUUUUUUAUAUAAUUCUUUUGUGUAUCUAUUAAUAUAAUUUAUAACUUUGUAGUUGAAAAGUUUUUUAUUUAUAGUUGUUUAAUGUCAUAGUGUUUUAAGGUCAUACCAAAUUCAAAAUUUAGAAUUUUCCAAACAACUUUCAAUGUUCACAAAGUUAAUAAUAAAAUUGUAGUGGCCGACCUGAUCUAGAUGUUCAAUGAUGAAUAAAUUUCUUAUUUAAAUUCUUUUGUGUCUCAAAUAAUUGUUUUAAAUUCACAUAUUUUAAGAUUCAAAAUUUUGAAAUCUUCAAACAAUCUUGGAUGGAGACACAUCCUACACCAAAGUUGUAGUGCUUAACAAGAUUUAUAACUCUGAAAUUGAAACUUUUUGCUUUUGAGUUCAUUUGGUAGGCAAAAAAUAUUCAACACAAUAUUAUAAAAUGGUAUUCAAAAUAGCACUGAUAUAUACUUACAAAUGAGCGUGUGGUGUAGUGACAGGAAGGUGUUAUUAUUAACAAGUAGGCCAUAUGAUUGAGUCUUAAAAGUAUAUCAAUUUUUUAUUAUUUUUUUAGGUUUUCUGAAACCAUUAGUAGUGGUAGGCUUAACAUAGGGAUGAUGUUUUUAUUUUUUUAGUUUUUCUAGAAACCAACAGAGGCUGGCUUCAUAUAGGGACAAGAAUUUUUAGGUGUUCAUAAUACCAGAACAAGCAAACAAGAGUUGGAACCUCCCAUCAUUAGGAUUCCAACUCACGAUAGAAUGGGCUAUCACUAAUGGUGGAAGCCACGAACUGGUAGUGGUAGUCUUCCUAUCACUGUCAGUUCUAAAAGUAACCGGCAGAGUGAUAGUCAGGUAAUGAUUAUCUUUUAUAGCAUAGUGAUUGGUUUACAGAGUCCAAAGUUUUGUGCACUUCGAUCCAUUUCUUUGAGAGUUUGUUUCCAUGAGUGCUCGAUUACUUUUGGGUGUGCCUAAUACUUCACGUGUGGUAUCUUGUUACUAGUUAGCACGUGUAUCUCAUAUCUUUGAUGAGUGUUUAUUUUGGAUUGUUUGCGAGCCAAGGAUCAAGAGUUUCAAAAGAAAUUUGAGGCUUCCAUUCACCCUCCUCUGGUCCUCGUUUCUGGUCCUUCAUAGUAUUAAUGAACAUUACAGCCACAUAAUGUGGCUACCUGCCAAGUUACUCAUGACUAGCCUUUACAUUAAGAAAUGAGCACAAUCCAUAAAAGAAAACUAUGCCUUUAAAUUGUGUUGAACUUUUCCAUAUAAUAAAAUAGGUACCCAAAUAUGAGUUGAAUAGUGGAAUAAAACAUGUGGCGUUGUUAAGCCUCUGGUUUGUGUGAAGUAAAAUAGGAAGCAUAACAAUAAGACGUAAAUUUGGAAAUUCAGUCCUUAUAAAACAAUAACGAACUAAAGCCUUGUUUAGUUUCCAAAAACUUUUUAGAUUCUCCAUCACAUUAAAUCUUCCGGUACAUGCAUGGAGCAGUAAAUAUAUAUUAAAAAAACUAAUUGUAUAGUUUGUCUGUAAUUUGCUAGACGAAAUUUUUUAGCCUAGUUAGUCUAUAAUUGAACAAUAAUUAUCAAAUACAAAUGAAAGUACUAC